CGUAAGCUGUGCGACUGACGGAAGUGGAGCACCACGGGGAGCACAGGGAAGAGAGCCGACCGUCUGGGCAUCGUCU
RNAcentral lists this non-coding RNA (76 nucleotides) under Mitsuokella sp. oral taxon 131 str. W9106. Its description in RNAcentral is "ZMP/ZTP riboswitch aptamer (pfl RNA motif)". It matches the Rfam family "ZMP/ZTP riboswitch aptamer (pfl RNA motif)". From Rfam's summary of the family: Previously known as pfl RNA. ZMP is also known as AICAR. The record is from Rfam by way of RNAcentral. RNAcentral also lists the same sequence under 1 other name. Lineage: Bacteria; Bacillati; Bacillota; Negativicutes; Selenomonadales; Selenomonadaceae.